RNAcentral lists this ribosomal RNA (354 nucleotides) under uncultured bacterium. RNAcentral's name for it is "partial 16S ribosomal RNA". It matches the Rfam family "Bacterial small subunit ribosomal RNA", at positions 338 to 709 of the family's 1533-position model. The record is from RNAcentral.
CCUACGGGGGGCAGCAGUGGGGGAUAUUGGACAAUGGGGGAAACCCUGAUCCAGCGACGCCGCGUGAGGGAAGAAGUAUCUCGGUACGUAAAGCCCUAUCAGCAGGGAAGAAAAUGACGGUACCUGACUAAUAAGCACCGGCUAACUACGUGCCAGCAGCCGCGGUAAUACGUAGGGGGCAAGCGUUAUCCGGAUUUACUGGGCGUAAAGGGCGCGUAGACGGCAGCACAAGUCUGGCGUGAAAUCCCGGGGCUUAACCCCGGAACUGCAUUGGAAACUGUGCGGCUGGAGUGCGGGAGGGGUAAGCGGAAUUCCUAGUGUAGCGGUAAAAUCCGUAGAUAUUAAGAGGAACAC